UACGUAGGGUGCGAGCGUUGUCCGGAAUUAUUGGGCGUAAAGAGCUCGUAGGCGGCUCGUCGCGUCGACCGUGAAAACCCGCGGCUUAACUGCGGGCUUGCGGUUGAUACGGGCGGGCUAGAGUCCGGAAGAGGAGAGUGGAAUUCCCGGUGUAGCGGUGAAAUGCGCAGAUAUCGGGAAGAACACCUAUGGCGAAGGCAGCUCUCUGGGACGGUACUGACGCUGAGACGCGAAAGCGUGGGGAGCGAACAGG
RNAcentral lists this ribosomal RNA (253 nucleotides) under uncultured bacterium. Its description in RNAcentral is "partial 16S ribosomal RNA". It matches the Rfam family "Bacterial small subunit ribosomal RNA", at positions 524 to 776 of the family's 1533-position model. The record is from RNAcentral.